GGGAGAACCUGCGAGGGAUCAUUACUGAGUUUACGCUCUAUAACCCUUUGUGAACAUACCUAUAACUGUUGCUUCGGCGGGUAGGGUCUCCGCGACCCUCCCGGCCUCCCGCCUCCGGGCGGGUCGGCGCCCGCCGGAGGAUAACCAAACUCUGAUUUAACGACGUUUCUUCUGAGUGGUACAAGCAAAUAAUCAAAACUUUUAACAACGGAUCUCUUGGUUCUGGCAUCGAUGAAGAACGCAGCGAAAUGCGAUAAGUAAUGUGAAUUGCAGAAUUCAGUGAAUCAUCGAAUCUUUGAACGCACAUUGCGCCCGCCAGCAUUCUGGCGGGCAUGCCUGUUCGAGCGUCAUUUCAACCCUCAAGCUCUGCUUGGUGUUGGGGCCCUACAGCUGAUGUAGGCCCUCAAAGGUAGUGGCGGACCCUCCCGGAGCCUCCUUUGCGUAGUAACUUUACGUCUCGCACUGGGAUCCCGAGGGACUCUUCCCGUAAAACCCCCCAAUUUUCAAAGGUUGACCUCCGAUCA
This 524-nucleotide ribosomal RNA is filed under the name Colletotrichum gloeosporioides. RNAcentral describes it as "eukaryotic LSU rRNA". The stretch from base 197 to 350 matches the Rfam family "5.8S ribosomal RNA". The record is from RNAcentral. Lineage: Eukaryota; Fungi; Ascomycota; Sordariomycetes; Glomerellales; Glomerellaceae.